RNAcentral lists this ribosomal RNA (388 nucleotides) under uncultured bacterium. Its description in RNAcentral is "bacterial SSU rRNA". It matches the Rfam family "Bacterial small subunit ribosomal RNA", at positions 30 to 419 of the family's 1533-position model. The record is from RNAcentral.
AUUGAACGCUGGCGGCAUGCCUUACACAUGCAAGUCGAACGGUAACGGGCCUUCGGGUGCCGACGAGUGGCGAACGGGUGAGUAAUGUAUCGGAACGUACCUUUCAGUGGGGGAUAACGUAGCGAAAGUUACGCUAAUACCGCAUAUUCUGUGAGCAGGAAAGCAGGGGAUCGCAAGACCUUGCGCUGAUUGAGCGGCCGAUAUCAGAUUAGCUAGUUGGUGAGGUAAAGGCUCACCAAGGCGACGAUCUGUAGCGGGUCUGAGAGGAUGAUCCGCCACACUGGAACUGAGACACGGUCCAGACUCCUACGGGAGGCAGCAGUGGGGAAUUUUGGACAAUGGGGGGCAACCCUGAUCCAGCCAUGCCGCGUGAGUGAAGAAGGCCUUC